RNAcentral lists this ribosomal RNA (506 nucleotides) under uncultured bacterium. RNAcentral describes it as "partial 16S ribosomal RNA". It matches the Rfam family "Bacterial small subunit ribosomal RNA", at positions 29 to 523 of the family's 1533-position model. The record is from RNAcentral.
AGUGAACGCUGGCGGUAGGCCUAACACAUGCAAGUCGAACGGCAGCACAGGAGAGCUUGCUCUCUGGGUGGCGAGUGGCGGACGGGUGAGGAAUACAUCGGAAUCUACUUUUUCGUGGGGGAUAACGUAGGGAAACUUACGCUAAUACCGCAUACGACCUACGGGUGAAAGCAGGGGAUCUUCGGACCUUGCGCGAUUGAAUGAGCCGAUGUCGGAUUAGCUAGUUGGCGGGGUAAAGGCCCACCAAGGCGACGAUCCGUAGCUGGUCUGAGAGCAUGGUCAGCCACACUGGAACUGAGACACGGUCCAGACUCCUACGGGAGGCAGCAGUGGGGAAUAUUGGACAAUGGGCGCAAGCCUGAUCCAGCCAUACCGCGUGGGUGAAGAAGGCCUUCGGGUUGUAAAGCCCUUUUGUUGGGAAAGAAAUCCAGCUGGUUAAUACCCGGUUGGGAUGACGGUACCCAAAGAAUAAGCACCGGCUAACUUCGUGCCAGCCGCCGCAGUAA